CCACGGGAGUCAGCAGUGGGGAAUAUUGCACAAUGGGGGAAACCCUGAUGCAGCGACGCCGCGUGAGUGAAGCAGUAAUUCGUUAUGUAACGCUCUAUCAGCAGGGAAGAACAUGCCGGUACCUGAGUCAGAAGCCCCGGCUAACUACGUGCCAGCAGCCGGGGUAAUCCGUAGGGGGCAAGCGUUAUCCGGAUUUACUGGGUGUAAAGGGAGCGUAGACGGCAGUGCAAGUCUGGAGUGAAAGGCGGGGGCUCAACCCCCGGACUGCUCUGGAACCUGUACGGCUGGAGUGCAGGAGAGGUAAGUGGAAUGCCUAGUGUAGCGGUGAAAGGCGUAGAUAUUAGGAGGAACACCAGUGGCGAAGGCAGCUUACUGGACUGUAACUGACGUUGAGGCUCGAAAGCGUGGGGAGCGAACAGGAUUAGAUACCCCGGUAGUC
Molecule: ribosomal RNA, 439 nt
Filed under: uncultured bacterium
Lineage: Bacteria
Description: partial 16S ribosomal RNA
Rfam family: Bacterial small subunit ribosomal RNA
Source: RNAcentral